CACAUUGUUUGGGAGUAUGGACCCCAUAAAGGAUCAAGUCUAGACAUGAGCAACAAUUUGGAUGUUGCCAUGUUCUGAACUUUAACGUAAAUACAUAGAGGGUAAUAGGGGUACAUGGAUUCACAGCAGAAACAAGUGCAAAGCGAACAACAUACACAUUUAACACUAAGCAUAGAUAACGAAGUACACAAGAAUGUGGAAGCUGUAAAAUAAACACAUUGG
This 222-nucleotide long non-coding RNA is filed under the name Nicotiana benthamiana. Its description in RNAcentral is "long non-coding RNA (NBEN_LNC014310)". The record is from RNAcentral. Lineage: Eukaryota; Viridiplantae; Streptophyta; Magnoliopsida; Solanales; Solanaceae.